AAGUCGUAACAAGGUUUCCGUAGGUGAACCUGCGGAAGGAUCAUUACCAAAUCCAAAUACCCAAACCCCAUGUGAACUAUUGUAUAGUCUGUCUUUGGGAGAAAAAGAAGGAGAAAUCUGGAUUUUUCUCCCAAUAGAGUCCGGCAUAACUUUUCGGUUGUGUCCAGAUUCGAAAACCCUUUAAACCACUUGAUUUUUCUGUUGGAAUUUCUUUUAUUAAUUAUAAAUAAAAGACAACUUUUAACGGUGGAUCUCUUGGCUCGUG
RNAcentral lists this unclassified non-coding RNA (265 nucleotides) under fungal sp. RNAcentral describes it as "partial internal transcribed spacer region". The stretch from base 1 to 46 matches the Rfam family "Eukaryotic small subunit ribosomal RNA", at positions 1786 to 1831 of the family's 1831-position model. The record is from RNAcentral. Lineage: Eukaryota; Fungi.